RNAcentral lists this unclassified non-coding RNA (1120 nucleotides) under Hevea brasiliensis (rubber tree). The record is from RNAcentral. Lineage: Eukaryota; Viridiplantae; Streptophyta; Magnoliopsida; Malpighiales; Euphorbiaceae.
CAAAAAAAAAAGAGUGAAAAUUUGAAGAGAAAAGCCACCAUGUCUUCUCCUGCAAUUGUGAAUCUGUGGAUGUUAUUAGUAUGUUGUAUUCUCAUUGCAGUGAAGGGUGGAUGGGAUGAGGAAGUUGGAUUACUUAGAAGAGGAGGAAAACAGAGACAGUUCGAUUACUUCAAGCUAGCUCUUCAAUGGCCCGGCACCUAUUGCCGAAAAACUCGCCAUUGCUGCUCUUCCAACGCUUGUUGCAGCCGCUCAAACUCGCCAUCUGUAUUCACAAUUCAUGGACUUUGGACUGAAUAUAACGAUGGAACUUGGCCUUCCUGUUGUUCUGGUCGCCCUUUUGAUCAGAAGGAGAUUUCAACAUUGCUUGAGCCAAUGAGGAAGUAUUGGCCUUCCUUAAGUUGUAGUUCCCCCAGAUCUUGCCAUCACAAAAAAGGACCAUUCUGGGGUCAUGAGUGGGAAAAACACGGGACAUGUGCUUAUCCAGUUGUCCUUGACGAAUAUGAAUUCUUUUUGACAACGUUGAAUGUUUACUUCAAAUAUAACGUCACAGAAGUUCUAUUUGAAGCUGGAUAUGUACCAUCAGAUUCUGAAAAGUAUCCAUUAGGAGGCAUCAUUUCAUCCAUUCAAAAUGCUUUUCAUACAACCCCAGAGUUGGUAUGCUCAGGCGAUGCCCUGGAAGAACUUCGUAUAUGUUUCUAUAAGAAUUUUGAGCCUCGUGACUGUGCACAUGAUACAAGCUCAAGAGGGUCAUGUCCUCAGUACGUCAGCUUGCCAGCCCAUGGAUCAUGGGGGUUUAGAAGCAAUACAACAGCAGCUUCUUAGUUUGCAGAAUGGUCUCUGGUUUCAUCAGAUAAUUUGACAAAGUUGCCGAAUGACCUUGGCUUUAUUGCUUUACAGUGAAGCCUGUCAUAAUACAAGUUUCAGCUUCGGAUUGGUUAAUCCUUUCUCACGUGCAAAUCUACAGGUGGAUAAAUGAUGUUUCCUCUAUACUUUCUAGGUCUAUUAUCAAUGCAACCGUAACCAGAUUAAUAAUGUUCCCUUUUCUGCUAUUCCAGUUUAUCAAAGUAAAUUUUCGACAUGGUUUGUACGUACCGGUGCAUGAAUAUAAAGAACUGUUGGG